ACGCACGCUGGCGGCGUGCUUAACACAUGCAAGUCGAACGGAAAGGCCCUGCUUGCAGGGUACUCGAGUGGCGAACGGGUGAGUAACACGUGGGUGAUCUGCCCUGCACUUCGGGAUAAGCUUGGGAAACUGGGUCUAAUACCGGAUAGGAGCCAUCUUUAGUGUGGUGGUUGGAAAGUUUUUUCGGUGUAGGAUGAGCUCGCGGCCUAUCAGCUUGUUGGUGGGGUAAUGGCCUACCAAGGCGGCGACGGGUAGCCGGCCUGAGAGGGUGUACGGCCACAUUGGGACUGAGAUACGGCCCAGACUCCUACGGGAGGCAGCAGUGGGGAAUAUUGCACAAUGGGCGCAAGCCUGAUGCAGCGACGCCGCGUGGGGGAUGAAGGCCUUCGGGUUGUAAACUCCUUUCGCUAGGGACGAAGCUUUUUUGCGACGGUACCUAGAUAAGAAGCACCGGCUAACUACGUG
Molecule: ribosomal RNA, 465 nt
Filed under: uncultured bacterium
Lineage: Bacteria
Description: partial 16S ribosomal RNA
Rfam family: Bacterial small subunit ribosomal RNA
Source: RNAcentral